GUCUCGACAUAGUCUCAUAUUGGUGUGCUCUGUGCGAUAUAGGCGGAUCACUGAUAGAUCCGAGGGAAAGAAAAGGGUGGACAAAGAUCAGCUUCAAUAGACAAACGGUACAAGCUGCCAAGAGCCCAGAUCGGUGAAUCUGGGAGGUAAAAUUUCGUAUCCUUGCAAGUGGAAUUAUUGUAGAUCUGGUAAUAAUAGCUGUACUCAGUUCUAUGGUGUAUGGAUCUAUGAUUUAAUUGUGCUUCCUCCAUGCAUCGCACAACUGAGCUGUAGAAAAUUAACUGCUCUAAAUUCUGUUUCUGUGCUGGAUCUGCAACAAUCACCCCCAAACUUGCAUCUGUGAAUGACUUUUUAUGUUGACUGCUUUAAAUUUCCAGCAUAGUGUAGAUGUGGUUGAUGUGAACGUUAGACUUGCUGCUGGGUGCAGGAUUCCAGCAUAGGACGCGCUUUAUUUUCCACGUUCGCAACCUGCAAUUAACCAAUAUGCGUUAAAAAAAAUAAAAUAAAAAUAAACUGGGUAAAUAAAAUCAGCCUGCAAUUGUCCAUUUUUUGAAUUUUCGUUUUUUUUUAAUUAUUUUUAUAUGUAUUUAUAUAUAUAUAUAUAUAUAUUUUUUUUUUUUUUAUGUAUGUUUUAUUUUAUUUUAUUUUUAUUUUUUUAUAUUUAUAUUAAAGAGAAAAUCAAACGAAAAUUAAAAUGAGGAAAGAGUUUAGAAAAAUUGGGUUGCCUCCCAAUUAGCGCUUUAUUUUAAGUCUGUAGCUAGACGUUGCGGAAGUCCGGUGGCUAGAUCACCGGUGCCUUCAGAGUCAAAGACUCGUUUGCGGUAUCAAAGGGUGACUCUACGUAUGGUUUCAGCCUGUGACCAUUCACCUUGAAUGUGUUGCCUUGAGCCUCAUUAGAUAUUUCAACUGCCCCAUGAGGAAAGAUUUUAGUAACCGAAUAUGGCCCAGUCCAGCGAGAUUUCAAUUUCCCUGGAAACAACUUUAGCCUUGAACUGAAUAGCAACACCUUUUGCCCUGGCUGAAAUUCUUUCCGUAAAUUUUGACUAUCAUGAAACGUCUUAGUUCUUUCCUUGUAGAUGCGAGAACUUUCAUAAGCACCCUGACGAAUUUCCUCCAGCUCAUUGAGCUACAAUUUACGUUGUUCCCCAGCUGAGUCAUAUGAAAAAUUUAACUCUUUAAUUGCCCAAUACGCCUUAUGUUCAAGCUCCAUAGGUAAAUGACAUGCUUUCCCAUAAAUGAGUCGAAAUGGUGACAUCCCAAUAGGAGUUUUAUAAGCUGUCCUGUAGGCCCACAAUGCAUCAUUUAAUUUUAAACUCCAAUCUUUACGUGUUGAACCAACUGUUUUCUCCAAAAUGCGUUUUAAUUCUCUGUUUGAAACUUCCACUUGACCAGAUGUCUGUGGAUGAUAAGGUGUGGCCACACGAUGAUUAAUCCCGUAUUUUGCCAACAAAUUAGCAAAUGGUUUAUUAAUAAAGGGCUUCCCCCCAUCACUAAGAAUAACGCGUGGAAUUCCAAAACGCGGAAAUAUAACCCCUUGGAGGAACUUCAGGACCACUGAUCCCUGAUUAGUUGGUGCUGCAAUGGCCUCGACCCAUUUAGAAACAUACUCCACAGCAACUAAAAUAUAUUGGUUCCAAUGGGAAGAUGGAAAUGGUCCAUUCCUCCACUGCUGGAUAUGUAAUGCAACUGGGUAUAUUUGUGGUAUGGGCAGUCAGUGAAUCACCCAGGGGCAGACCUGCCUCUGGAAUUACAAACGCCAUUUUUUCGUUGUUGUGCAGGUCCCCAGAAAAGACUGAUUGCAGAAAUGUCUCCUGCAGAGGACGAACCCGCUGCAAAUUUUGCACCCUGCGUUUCCUCCCUAAAUUCUGCUCAAGUUCUGGAUCAAGUGGAAUCAAUUUCUGCACUGUUGAACGGGUGCUGACCAUGCACAGAUUUCUGAAAUCUGCACUGCUGUACUGUUGUAAUCUGUAAAAAUAAAAU
This 1980-nucleotide long non-coding RNA is filed under the name Malus domestica (apple). Its description in RNAcentral is "long non-coding RNA (MDOM_LNC012175)". The record is from RNAcentral. Lineage: Eukaryota; Viridiplantae; Streptophyta; Magnoliopsida; Rosales; Rosaceae.